RNAcentral lists this ribosomal RNA (253 nucleotides) under uncultured bacterium. RNAcentral describes it as "partial 16S ribosomal RNA". It matches the Rfam family "Bacterial small subunit ribosomal RNA", at positions 524 to 776 of the family's 1533-position model. The record is from RNAcentral.
GACGGGGGGGGCAAGCGUUGUUCGGAAUUACUGGGCGUAAAGGGCUCGUAGGCGGCCAACUAAGUCAGACGUGAAAUCCCUCGGCUUAACCGGGGAACUGCGUCUGAUACUGGAUGGCUAGAGGUUGGGAGAGGGAUGCGGAAUUCCAGGUGUAGCGGUGAAAUGCGUAGAUAUCUGGAGGAACACCGGUGGCGAAGGCGGCAUCCUGGACCAAUUCUGACGCUGAGACUCGAAAGCAUGGGGAGCAAACAGG